This is an unclassified non-coding RNA of 298 nucleotides. It matches the Rfam family "Metazoan signal recognition particle RNA". Rfam says of the family: The signal recognition particle (SRP) is a universally conserved ribonucleoprotein. It is involved in the co-translational targeting of proteins to membranes. The eukaryotic SRP consists of a 300-nucleotide 7S RNA and six proteins: SRPs 72, 68, 54, 19, 14, and 9. The record is from Ensembl.
GCCGGGUGCGGUGGCGCGCGCCUGUAAUCCAAGCUACCGGGAGGCUGAGGCUGGCGGAUCGUUUGAGCUCAGGAGCUCUGAGCUGCAGCGGACUAUGCCGAUCGGGUGUCCGCACUAAGUUCGGUAUCGAUAUGGUGCUCCUGGGGGAGCCCGGGACCACCAGGUCGUCUAAGGAGGGGUGCACCGGCCCAGGUCGGAGACGGAGCAGGUCAAAGCCCCCGUGCCGCUCAGUAGUGGGAUCGCGCCUGUGAAUAGACGCUGUAGUGCAGCCUGAGUAAUACAGCGGGACCCAGUCUUU